Molecule: ribosomal RNA, 502 nt
Filed under: uncultured bacterium
Lineage: Bacteria
Description: partial 16S ribosomal RNA
Rfam family: Bacterial small subunit ribosomal RNA
Source: RNAcentral
GACGAACGCUGGCGGCGUGCUUAACACAUGCCAGUCGAACGGUGAAGGGGUCUGCUUUUGUGGGCCCUGGAUGAGUGGCGAACGGGUGAGUAACACGUGAGUAACCUGCCCCCUUCUUCUGGAUAACCGCAUGAAAGUGUGGCUAAUACGGGAUAUUCUGGGUCUGUCGCAUGAUGGGUCUGGGAAAGAUUGCGCCUUUGGGUGUUUUUGGUGGGGGAUGGGCUCGCGGCCUAUCAGCUUGUUGGUGGGGUGAUGGCCUACCAAGGCGGUGACGGGUAGCCGGCCUGAGAGGGUGGACGGUCACACUGGGACUGAGACACGGCCCAGACUCCUACGGGAGGCAGCAGUGGGGAAUAUUGCACAAUGGGCGCAAGCCUGAUGCAGCGACGCCGCGUGAGGGAGGGAGGCCUUCGGGUUGUAAACCUCUUUCGCCAGUGAAGCAGGCCUGCUCCGUGUGGGUGGGUUGACGGUAGCUGGAUAAGAAGCGCCGGCUAACUACGUG